This 1840-nucleotide long non-coding RNA is filed under the name Macaca fascicularis (crab-eating macaque). RNAcentral's name for it is "lncRNA (ENSMFAG00000063160.1)". The record is from RNAcentral. Lineage: Eukaryota; Metazoa; Chordata; Mammalia; Primates; Cercopithecidae.
UUUUUUUUUUUUUUUUACCUGACGCCUGUGUAUUGUUUUCUGUUUUGUUUCGGCCCUUAGUAUUUCUUUUUUAAAAACAUCUUUUUCUGAGUUUUUAACUUGGAUGACUGACUUACUAAUUUUCAUUAGCCCAUUAAUAUAAACAUUUAAGGGUCUGAAUUUUUCUGUAAUACUGCUUUAGCUGAAUAUCAUGCUUAUUAUUCAGUUUUAAAUAUUUUCUGAUUUCCCCUAUAUAUAUUUUUUUUAUUGUGAGUUAUUUAGAAGGAUGUUUCUUAAUUUCCAAAUAUUACGGGGUUUUCAAUAUAUAUUUUUACUAUUAUUCUACAUUAAUUGCAUUUUGAUCAGACAGUGGAUUUAUGGGAUUCUCACUGAUCUGGAUUUUGUUGAGGUGGGUUUUGAAUGGAUCAGUUUAUAAACAUUCCAUACAUGCUUUAAAACAACAUGAAUUCAUCAGGUUAUGGUACCCUUUUCUCUCUGAGUCCACCAGGUAGAGCUUGUUGAUUGCAUUAUCCGAUUCGUCUUGUCCUUACUGAUUUUUGUCUUCUUGCUCUAUCAAUUACUGAGAGAAGUAUGUUAAAAUUUUCCAUUAUGAUAAUGAGUACCUGUUUCUCCUUAAGUUUCUGUCAAGUUUUCAUUGUAUGUAUUUUGAGGCUAUGUUAGUAUGUGCAUAUAUAGAUUUAGGAUUGUUAUCCUGUUACUUCAUUUUUACUUGGUUCUAGAUAAUGUUAUCACAUCUGUUUUCUAUUUGAUGAGUUCUCUUUUAAGCUCUUCCUAGUCUUUUGUUAACCCAUUGAUUAAGUGUUAAAUUCCAGUUACCAGUUUGUUUUAAGACAUUCCCAAUGGUUUUUAAGAAAACCUACAUGAAAUUUUAAAAUUAUCUCUUGCUGUGUAUUCACACUUUCAGUCUUCUCUUUUAUUUCUUCAGAUAUAAAAUUUUAUAAUCUGUGCCUGAUAAUUGCAUGGGUGACGUUUUUGCAGGUCUGAUUCUGCUGUCGUUUAUGAAUCCUGGUUUCUGCUGAUGGUACAUUGUUUCCUAGUGUACUUUGUGAUUUUUGACAAUUUAUUGGAAGUUUAUUGUGGCAGUUAUUUUAGGCCUGACACUGAGGGAGUUUCCUCUAGAGGGAGUUUCUGUUAACUUCUAAUCUGUGUUCUUUUAUAAAGCAUGUCUCUUGUAAAUAGCUUGUAGUUGGUCUUCUCUGCCCUCCAGUUUAUUCUAACAUCCCUGUGUCUCUAUAUUGGAGUGUUUAGUACAUUUGUAUUAAAUUUAAGCCUGUUCUAUUAAUUGGGCCUAGAUCUAUCAUAAUUUAAAAAUUUGUUUUGUGUUUUCUCACCUGUUCUUUAGUCAUCUCUUUCUGGUUAAAGCAUCAGUCAAGUAUUUAGUUACUUCAUUUCCUCUUCUCUGUUAGCUUUCUGUGUUCUUGUUGCGGUGGCUGUCUGAUCGUGGUGUGCGUUCUUGACUUACUAGAUUACCUGGUAAAUCAGCGCUGUAUACUGUAUACUCUCUCUGGGGCAGAGUUUGGGAGCAGCCUUGCUGGAUGGUUGUGGCGUAGGUCUCCUGUGAAGAUGGUUUUCAGAAGGCUUGAUGUGGCAGGCUGGAGGAUGCCAUUCCGGGCUGGUUCGUUCUGCCAGCUGAUGGUCUCUGUUGCAUGCUAAGGGCAGGUUUAGUGUCCUCCUGACCUGGGGCUGGUGUCUCAGGGCAAGUGUCCGUGUGGGAGCAGGAUAGACACUGUAGUAUCUUUUAUAACUGAGUCUUGGAGUCACGUGCUGUCAUUCUCCCGGAUGGUGGUCACAUCAGUCAGGCCAGGUCAGUGUGGGAGAGGCCAGGAGUAAACUGCAGGAG